This is a long non-coding RNA of Nematolebias whitei (Rio pearlfish), 609 nucleotides long. RefSeq lists it as uncharacterized. NCBI's taxonomy places the organism in Eukaryota, Metazoa, Chordata, Actinopteri, Cyprinodontiformes, Rivulidae. The record is from RefSeq and is a predicted model, not a curated record. The transcript has 3 exons.
AGAAGAAGAAGAAGACUGGGUUACACCGGCCCCUGCCUUCAGCCACAACCCAUGGAAUCAUGCACUCAACUCGUAUGGCCCAUCCUGCAGGCUGUGGGCCCACAGGAAGGCAAACCCAUGUUGCUUGUUCAAGCUGAGCCCGACCAAUCCCCAUGGGUAGAGACCCGGUUACCAGGCACUCACGGACAAGCUCCUUCACCAGGCCUGGCUCCAGGGUGAGGCCCAGUAACGGCAAGACGAUCAACAAAUGAUGGGGGCUGAAAAGCUUUUAACAUUUCUACUAAUAUUAACAGUGACGCCAAAAAUAAGGACACAAGCACAAAUAUCAAGUACCACAUCUGCUCCAACAACAACCACAGCUGCUCCAACAACCAUAGGUGCACCAACUACAACCACAGCUGCUCCAACAACAACAGCUGCAGCAACAACAGCCACAUCUGCUCCAACAACAACCAUAGCUGCACCGACGACAACCACAUCUGCUCCAACAACAACCAUAGCUGCACCGACGACAACCACAUCUGCUCCAACAACAACCAUAGCUGCACCGACGACAACCACAUCUGCUCCAACAACCAAAGCUGCUCCAACAACCACAGGUGCACCAAC